UUGAACGCGAAGGACCUUACCAGGUCUUGACAUCCUCUGACAAUCCUAGAGAUAGGACCUCCCCUUCGGGGGCAGAGUGACAGGUGGUGCAUGGUUGUCGUCAGCUCGUGUCGUGAGAUGUUGGGUUAAGUCCCGCAACGAGCGCAACCCUUGAUCUUAGUUGCCAGCAUUCAGUUGGGCACUCUAAGGUGACUGCCGGUGACAAACCGGAGGAAGGUGGGGAUGACGUCAAAUCAUCAUGCCCCUUAUGACCUGGGCUACACACGUGCUACAAUGGACAGAACAAAGGGCAGCGAAACCGCGAGGUUAAGCCAAUCCCACAAAUCUGUUCUCAGUUCGGAUCGCAGUCUGCGGAACUCGACUGCGUGAAGCUGGAAUCGCUAGAAAUCGCGGAUCAGCAUGCCGCGGUGAAUACGUUCCCGGGUCUUGUACACACGCA
RNAcentral lists this ribosomal RNA (439 nucleotides) under bacterium CPTAC41. RNAcentral describes it as "bacterial SSU rRNA". It matches the Rfam family "Bacterial small subunit ribosomal RNA", at positions 955 to 1394 of the family's 1533-position model. The record is from RNAcentral.